RNAcentral lists this unclassified non-coding RNA (270 nucleotides) under rhizosphere metagenome. Its description in RNAcentral is "partial ribosomal RNA internal transcribed spacer region". The record is from RNAcentral.
GUAGGUGAACCUGCGGAAGGAUCAUUGCCACACACGAUCCAAGAUCGACACAUUAUUGUGAACUGUUUAAAUGUUAUGAGAGUGUAUUGUUUUUUGUGUGUAUUUUAACUUUAAUUGGUUAUUUGCUACAAAUCAAUGUCUCUCUUUUAUUACACCAUUAUUUUACCAACAUGAAUUAUACAUUGGAACAUAAAAGAGUUAUCAAUUUUUUGAUAACACUAGAUAUAUUAAUUGUAAAAACAACUUUUAACAACGGAUAUCUAGGUUCUU